GACGAACGCUGGCGGCGUGCCUAAUACAUGCAAGUCGAGCGGACGAAUCGAAAGCUUGCUUUUGAUUCGUUAGCGGCGGACGGGUGAGUAACACGUUGGCAACCUGCCCUGUAGACGGGGAUAACACCGAGAAAUCGGUGCUAAUACCGGAUAACACGAAAUGUCGCAUGACGUUUCGUUGAAAGACGGCGCACGCUGUCGCUACAGGAUGGGCCCGCGGCGCAUUAGCUAGUUGGUGAGGUAACGGCUCACCAAGGCGACGAUGCGUAGCCGACCUGAGAGGGUGAUCGGCCACACUGGGACUGAGACACGGCCCAGACUCCUACGGGAGGCAGCAGUAGGGAAUCUUCCGCAAAGGACGAAAGUCUGACGGAGCAACGCCGCGUGAGCGAAGAAGGCCUUCUGGUCGUAAAGCUCUGUUGUUAGGGAAGAACAAGUAACGCAGUAACUGGCGUUACCGUGACGGUACCUAACGAGAAAGCCACGGCUAACUACGUG
RNAcentral lists this ribosomal RNA (498 nucleotides) under uncultured bacterium. RNAcentral's name for it is "partial 16S ribosomal RNA". It matches the Rfam family "Bacterial small subunit ribosomal RNA", at positions 28 to 507 of the family's 1533-position model. The record is from RNAcentral.